GACGAACGCUGGCGGCGUGCCUAAUACAUGCAAGUCGAACGCAGUGGGGACGGGUGAGUAACACGUGGGUAACCUCCGAUCAGAGGGUAUAACACUGGGAAACAGGUGCUAAACCGAUACUGAUGGAUGGACUCGCGGUGGAUUAGCUAGUUGGUGAGGUAACGGCGCACCAAGGCCACGAUGCAUAGCCGGCGUGAGGGGAUGAUCGGCCGACCUGGAACUUGGACACGGACCAGACUCCUACAGGAGGCAGCAGUAGGGAAUCUGCGGCAAUGGACGAAAGUCUGACCGAGCAACGCCGCGUGAGUGAAGAAGGUUUGCGGGCCGUAAAGCUCUGUUAUUAGAGAAACGGUAUCUAAACAAGAAGCCACGUCUAACUACGUGCCAGCAGCCGCGGUAAUAC
RNAcentral lists this ribosomal RNA (403 nucleotides) under uncultured bacterium. Its description in RNAcentral is "partial 16S ribosomal RNA". It matches the Rfam family "Bacterial small subunit ribosomal RNA", at positions 28 to 526 of the family's 1533-position model. The record is from RNAcentral.